AUUGAACGCUGGCGGCAUGCCUUACACAUGCAAGUCGAACGGUAACAGGUCUUCGGAUGCUGACGAGUGGCGCACGGGUGAGUAAUACAUCGGAACGUGCCCGAUCGUGGGGGAUAACGAAGCGAAAGCUUUUCUAAUACCGUAUACGAUCUACGGAUGAAAGCAGGGGACCGCAAGGCCUUGCGCGAACGGAGCGGCCGAUGGCAGAUUAGGUAGUUGGUGGGAUAAAAGCUUACCAAGCCGACGAUCUGUAGCUGGUCUGAGAGGACGACCAGCCACACUGGGACUGAGACACGGCCCAGACUCCUACGGGAGGCAGCAGUGGGGAAUUUUGGACAAUGGGCGAAAGCCUGAUCCAGCCAUGCCGCGUGCAGGAUGAAGGCCUUCGGGUUGUAAACUGCUUUUGUACGGAACGAAAAGACUCUGGUUAAUACCUGGGGUCCAUGACGGUACCGUAAGAAUAAGCACCGGCUAACUACGUG
RNAcentral lists this ribosomal RNA (482 nucleotides) under uncultured bacterium. RNAcentral describes it as "partial 16S ribosomal RNA". It matches the Rfam family "Bacterial small subunit ribosomal RNA", at positions 30 to 507 of the family's 1533-position model. The record is from RNAcentral.